Molecule: transfer RNA, 74 nt
Filed under: Bacillus phage vB_BanS-Thrax2
Lineage: Duplodnaviria; Heunggongvirae; Uroviricota; Caudoviricetes
Description: tRNA-Gly
Rfam family: tRNA
About the family: Transfer RNA (tRNA) molecules are approximately 80 nucleotides in length. Their secondary structure includes four short double-helical elements and three loops (D, anti-codon, and T loops).
Source: RNAcentral
GUGGAAUUAGUUUAGAGGUAGAAUUUCUGAUUGCCAUUCAGAAGGCAGGGUUUCGAUUACCCUAUUCCACACCA